Long non-coding RNA from Homo sapiens (human), 2606 nucleotides. Ensembl annotates it as long intergenic non-protein coding RNA 1902. The record is from Ensembl. Lineage: Eukaryota; Metazoa; Chordata; Mammalia; Primates; Hominidae.
GCUGGGGCCUCGGGCGGGGUGCACCGCUGUCCUUUCGCCGCCGUCCGGGCGGCACUGCACGUGCAGCGCGCGGUCCCCCACCCAGCGCAGCCCGCAACACCCCUGGUCUGCCGCAGGAGACCCUGCCGAUGCCACUCAGGGUCAAGACUCUGGCGCGGUGGAAACUGCAGAGCAAAAGGAAACACAGACAAAAACAGUGAGAAGGAGAGAGAGCAUGUGGGGCUUUGCCAGAGAGGAACUUGGAUGGCAAUCACCUAAGAACUCCAAACUCAGUGCCAGGGCAGACUGGUGUCUAUUUUGGGAUGGCUCAAGUACUCAAAAGGCAGCACUAAAAUAAGGCUAUGUCUCUUCCUGAGAAUACUCUGGACUUCAUUCUCUGAUUAAAGAUCACAACUGCUUCUUCGUUGAGGAAAUCAUGUAUUUCAAAGCCACCAAUGAACAAGAAUGACAAUCCAUGAAUUACACAGUAAACAAAUACUAUAUGUAUGAGACCGAUUCACUGUCACAAACCUGGAGAAGAAAACCCUUUUGAGGUUUAAAGCUGAGAGGGAGAUAAAAACUUGGUUGUACUACUUCUGGGAAAUGCUGAAGUUAUCCACGUGAUUUUCCAGUCACUGAUUAUUUUAGCAAAGUAACACAAACAGAGGAGGAGCUCUGGACUCUAGCUUCUCAUUUCUAAAAGAACAGAUGUAAUGGGAUGUAUUGGUCCAGCACUGAUAACAGGUUAUCCUACAAUCAAGUAUACUCUUUCCAGAAAGCUGAGUUAGGUAUGCAACUGCCUUUCUAAGCCAUGACUACAUUGCUAAAUGAAUCAUUGAUUUGGAAAAUCUGAAGUGACCUUCAGCUUGUUCUCCAGCUCUUCCUCAACAGAAAAGAGAGGCAAAAUCAGCAAAAUAUUGGAAAGAGCUAACUCACUGGUGACCCAGCACUUUGGGAGGAUGAGGAGGGUGGAUCACAAGGUCAGGAGUUCGAGACCAGCCUGGCCAACAUGAUGAAACCCCGUCUCUACUAAAAAUACAAAAAUUAGCCAGGCGUGGUGGCAUGCACCUGUAUUCCCAGCUACUUGGGACACUGAGGCAGGAGACUUGCUUGAACCCGGGAGGCAGAGGUUGCAGUGAGCCAAGAUCGUGCCACUGCACUCCAGCCUGGGCGACAGAGUGAGACUCCAUCUCAAAAAUAAGUAAAUGAAUAAAUAAAAAUAAAAUAGAUUGAGCCUCCACAUUUUGCAUGCAGCUUUCUUGGUGCUUGUCCUUCUCCUGUGCUUACUCAAAGAUGGGACAUUGUGCACAAUGAGAAGAGUAUUGGGACCAGUAAGGAAGAAUGAGUCAGAUAUUGUGGGACCUCUUUUUUUGUUGUUUUUUUUUGCUCCCAGAAAUCUUUGAGAUUUUAACCUGAAUGGAAAAGACAAUAUGAGGGUGAUGAAAGACUCUAGAUGGUCCGUCUUGGUCUUUGAAAGAUGCUGGAAUAUAUGCCUGCUUGGCCAAUUAGUCCCCAAUAACUCUUCAGUGCCAUAGUACUGUGUGUAGAGAAAACCUCAAUGAAAAGAAAAUGGACAAUCAAGCUGGAUAAAAUACAUCCCUUAAAUGAGAACUACGCUAUGUGAAAAAAAAAUAGAAGAACAAGUCCUCAGCAAGUCAAUGAUCAUAAGAAAAACAGUUAUAUUGACUAGUUAUUUUGUGUGUUUGAUGUACAAUAUGGAGAAAUAUUAGUAGCCAAAUGAAUGUGACACAUUGACACAGAUGCAUUGUAAAUAUUAUGCUAUUGAGACCAUAGAUUCAGUUACAUUCCUCUGAUGAAUGUGGAUGCUUUCAUUUCCUGUUUUAGAAGGCAACUAACCUGAUUAAUAUCAAACUGCAAGCUCUGCCUUGUUUGCAGUAGGUGACUGCUCAAAUUGUAGUUAUUUUAGCCUCAGCUCUGAGAUAAUUUGUUUCUGUCCUGUUUUUCCCCCAACAAGUAUGGUUCAAGGUUCACAUACAGACUUGGCCAGAGUUCAUAUGCAGACUUUUAACUGCCUUCUUCCCAGGAUUUCCUCUCCAUUUUUGGGGUGGGUGGGCAGUGGGGUGCUGUGGUUGCACUGGGUCCUGUCAUCUGGUUCUUACCAACACAAAAUAUGAAGGUUUUUAAAGGAGUUUCAGUUAUUCUAAUUAUCCUGUACCUUAAGUUGUCUUUCUAAUACCUAGUGCUGGUUUCUUCUAAAUGUCAAAUCUCUUACAAAAACUGUUCUGUCUCAGGAAUUGUGUGUGUGUGAUUGUGCAUAUUCAGACUUUAUAGUUGUUACCUGCAUGACUGUCAGUCUAGUAGGAAUUCAUUCCAGCCUACUAGAAGAAAAAGUUUAUAUAUCAAUUUUGCAGAAAAAUAAUCCAAAUUGUAUAGGAUAUUACUCAAAAAGAAAACUUCGGAAAAGUUGUUUAAAUUUAUAAUCUUUUAGUUUUAAGCAAAUAUUUGUUAAACAUGCUUACUUCUCAGUUAGUGGAACAGAAGAAAAAAAAUGUAAUGUCAUCCCUGAACUCAGACACACAACACUUAAGAAAUUACAUUCAAAACAUAGGUGCUUUAACUUGAUAAGUACUUUAAAUGCAAUGCUAUAUCCAUUGUUUUCAAUGAAC